Small RNA from Planktothrix agardhii NIVA-CYA 126/8, 78 nucleotides. It matches the Rfam family "Cyano-1 RNA". The record is from Rfam. Lineage: Bacteria; Bacillati; Cyanobacteriota; Cyanophyceae; Oscillatoriales; Microcoleaceae.
AGGAGUGUGAGGAGUGAAAUUAAUAAAGAAGAAGCACUUGGGGUCGAAACUCGGCCAGACUCCCAAGUGCUUUUUCCA